GAGUUUGAUCUUGGCUCAGAUUGAGCGCUGGCGGCAUGCCUUACACAUGCAAGUCGAACGGUAACAGGUCUUCGGAUGCUGACGAGUGGCGAACGGGUGAGUAAUACAUCGGAACGUGCCCGAUCGUGGGGGGAUAACGGAGCGAAAGCUUUGCUAAUACCGCAUACGAUCUACGGAUGAAAGCAGGGGACCGCAAGGCCUUGCGCGGACGGAGCGGCCGAUGGCAGAUUAGGUAGUUGGUGGGAUAAAAGCUUACCAAGCCGACGAUCUGUAGCUGGUCUGAGAGGACGACCAGCCACACUGGGACUGAGACACGGCCCAGACUCCUACGGGAGGCAGCAGUGGGAAUUUGGACAAUGGCGAAAGCCUGAUCCAGCCAUGCCGCGUGCAGGAUGAAGGCCUUCGGU
This 407-nucleotide ribosomal RNA is filed under the name uncultured microorganism. RNAcentral describes it as "bacterial SSU rRNA". It matches the Rfam family "Bacterial small subunit ribosomal RNA", at positions 9 to 422 of the family's 1533-position model. The record is from RNAcentral.